Molecule: ribosomal RNA, 587 nt
Filed under: uncultured bacterium
Lineage: Bacteria
Description: partial 16S ribosomal RNA
Rfam family: Bacterial small subunit ribosomal RNA
Source: RNAcentral
UGGGGAAUUUUGGACAAUGGGCGAAAGCCUGAUCCAGCAAUGCCGCGUGUGUGAAGAAGGCCUUCGGGUUGUAAAGCACUUUUGUCCGGAAAGAAAUCCUUGGCUCUAAUACAGUCGGGGGAUGACGGUACCGGAAGAAUAAGCACCGGCUAACUACGUGCCAGCAGCCGCGGUAAUACGUAGGGUGCAAGCGUUAAUCGGAAUUACUGGGCGUAAAGCGUGCGCAGGCGGUUUGCUAAGACCGAUGUGAAAUCCCCGGGCUCAACCUGGGAACUGCAUUGGUGACUGGCAGGCUAGAGUAUGGCAGAGGGGGGUAGAAUUCCACGUGUAGCAGUGAAAUGCGUAGAGAUGUGGAGGAAUACCGAUGGCGAAGGCAGCCCCCUGGGCCAAUACUGACGCUCAUGCACGAAAAGCGUGGGGGAGCAAAACAGGAUUAGAUACCCUGGUAGUCCACGCCCUAAACGAUGUCAACUAGUUGUUGGGGAUUCAUUUCCUAGUAACGUAGCUAACGCGUGAAGUUGACCGCCUGGGGAGUACGGUCGCAAGAUUAAAACUCAAAUGAAUUGACGGGGUCAUAGCUGUUUCCU